GGGGGGUUGGCACAGUGGUAGCGCAUCUGAUUCCAGUAUACUUCGACUGCGAAGUACUGUGAUUCCAGAAGGUCACGCGUUCGACUCGCGUACCCCUCA
Molecule: transfer RNA, 99 nt
Organism: Talaromyces stipitatus ATCC 10500
Lineage: Eukaryota; Fungi; Ascomycota; Eurotiomycetes; Eurotiales; Trichocomaceae
Rfam family: tRNA
About the family: Transfer RNA (tRNA) molecules are approximately 80 nucleotides in length. Their secondary structure includes four short double-helical elements and three loops (D, anti-codon, and T loops). Further hydrogen bonds mediate the characteristic L-shaped molecular structure. tRNAs have two regions of fundamental functional importance: the anti-codon, which is responsible for specific mRNA codon recognition, and the 3' end, to which the tRNAs corresponding amino acid is attached (by aminoacyl-tRNA synthetases). tRNAs cope with the degeneracy of the genetic code in two manners: having more than one tRNA (with a specific anti-codon) for a particular amino acid; and 'wobble' base-pairing, i.e. permitting non-standard base-pairing at the 3rd anti-codon position.
Source: Rfam